UCCUUGCUGGCUCAGUGGUAAAGAAUCUGCCUGAAAAGCAGGAAAUGUAGGUUCAAUCCCUGAGUCAGGAA
This 71-nucleotide transfer RNA is filed under the name Capra hircus (goat). It matches the Rfam family "tRNA". From Rfam's summary of the family: Transfer RNA (tRNA) molecules are approximately 80 nucleotides in length. Their secondary structure includes four short double-helical elements and three loops (D, anti-codon, and T loops). Further hydrogen bonds mediate the characteristic L-shaped molecular structure. tRNAs have two regions of fundamental functional importance: the anti-codon, which is responsible for specific mRNA codon recognition, and the 3' end, to which the tRNAs corresponding amino acid is attached (by aminoacyl-tRNA synthetases). tRNAs cope with the degeneracy of the genetic code in two manners: having more than one tRNA (with a specific anti-codon) for a particular amino acid; and 'wobble' base-pairing, i.e. permitting non-standard base-pairing at the 3rd anti-codon position. The record is from Rfam by way of RNAcentral. Lineage: Eukaryota; Metazoa; Chordata; Mammalia; Artiodactyla; Bovidae. RNAcentral also lists the same sequence under 1 other name.